Long non-coding RNA from Octopus sinensis (East Asian common octopus), 887 nucleotides. RefSeq lists it as uncharacterized. Lineage: Eukaryota; Metazoa; Mollusca; Cephalopoda; Octopoda; Octopodidae. The transcript is spliced from 2 exons. The record is from RefSeq and is a predicted model, not a curated record.
UCAUAUAUGCAUGUAUGUGUGUGUAUAUAUAAUAUAUAUAUAUAUAUAUAUAUAUAUAUAUAUAUAUAUAUAUGUGAGAGAGUUGGUGUGUGAAAGCACGUGGUUAGAUAUAUAAAAAAUAUAUAAUAAAUGAUUUACAGCUUUUAUGCACAACCCUCAACUCAAUUUUCAUUAACAAACCCAACAAUGAACAACAACCACCUAUCCACAACACCUUCAACAAAUUCAUUUUAAAACAAGAACAAAUUAGUAAAGAUUUGAACACUAUGCACAACACUAAAGUCGGUAUUCACAAACAAACCGAACAACGACCAGCGCACACCAAAUGAAACACACCAGGACGUCAUACUUACACAAGUCAAUCUAACAAAAAGAAAAAUAGAAAACAUUUGGAAUACAAACCUCCAUAAUAGAAAACUCGCUUUCUGGAAUAUGAUAAAAAAUCCCAACAAAGCAGAUAUCUACGAGGGAUGGAUGAACUCAACACCAAUUAUCCUCCCACGCAAAUUCCAGAUCAAAACAAUACCUAAUGAACCUGACGGACAGAGGACUAUUAGGGAAAGAUCAGCACUAUUCCAUCUAAAAUCAGAGGUAGAACUACUAAGACUUAGGGCCUCCACUUAUGAAGAAAAAUAUAAAAACAUUGACGAGGAGAUGCAUAGGGAAAUAAAGAAACAAACCAAGGGAUAACCCCUUGAAAAUACCAUAAAUCUUUGGAAAGAAGUCUGUGAAAAUGAAGAAAGAAAUUCUCUCCUACGCUGGGAAAAAAGCAAUGAUUUCUUCCAAAGAUAUGCAUCAACUUUUUAAAAAAGAAUUUGGUGCAGAUAAUCCUUUUCUAAAGAAAAAAAAACAAGAAAUAACAAACAAAAACUGAACAAUGCACAAAC